AACGAAAUGAGGGUUUCCUUUAGAUAAAAUGAGCUUCACUGUCUCUGGAUAAACAAAGGUAACAAACCCAAACAUACGCUUCUGCUGAUAUGGGAUCCUCACGUCUUGAACAGGACCAUAAAUACUUCAUCAACAACAAAAACCAAGUGGUAGAAGAAGAAGGAGUAGCAGAAGAAUCUCUCAGACUCUCACACUGCCCCUACCGCGGUAACGAGCAGUGAUUGAGUAGGAGCUAGUACUUGGAGUCUAGAGUAGUUCCUUAGUGGGUCAUGCUCUGAUAGAUGUAACAUCGGGACGGGAUGUUUUACUUGUUUUCAUUGAUGAUUGUUGAAUAAGCU
Long non-coding RNA from Lathyrus oleraceus (garden pea), 338 nucleotides. RefSeq lists it as uncharacterized. The record is from RefSeq and is a predicted model, not a curated record. The transcript is spliced from 3 exons. NCBI's taxonomy places the organism in Eukaryota, Viridiplantae, Streptophyta, Magnoliopsida, Fabales, Fabaceae.